GCUGAAGAACUGAUGAGCUUUUCAUGUCUCUUCUCUGAUGAAAGCUGAAGAGUCUUUGAAAUAUUCUGAUUUCAGC
Molecule: small nucleolar RNA, 76 nt
Organism: Gambusia affinis (western mosquitofish)
Lineage: Eukaryota; Metazoa; Chordata; Actinopteri; Cyprinodontiformes; Poeciliidae
Source: Ensembl